This 67-nucleotide transfer RNA is filed under the name Pecten albicans. RNAcentral's name for it is "tRNA-Asn". The record is from RNAcentral. Lineage: Eukaryota; Metazoa; Mollusca; Bivalvia; Pectinida; Pectinidae.
GAGGCGUUAGUCUAUCGAGGGCAUCCCGCUGUUGACGGGAAAGAGGGCUACAAGGGUUCACGCUUCU